CGGGUGGCUGCAGCAGUGGGGAAUAUUGCACAAUGGACGAAAGUCUGAUGCAGCAACGCCGCGUGGAGGAUGACACAUUUCGGUGCGUAAACUCCUUUUAUAUAGGAAGAUAAUGACGGUACUAUAUGAAUAAGCACCGGCUAACUCCGUGCCAGCAGCCGCGGUAAUACGGAGGGUGCAAGCGUUACUCGGAAUCACUGGGCGUAAAGAGCGUGUAGGCGGGUAGUUAAGUCAGAAGUGAAAUCCAAUAGCUCAACUAUUGAACUGCUUUUGAAACUGAUUACCUAGAAUAUGGGAGAGGUAGAUGGAAUUUCUGGUGUAGGGGUAAAAUCCGUAGAGAUCAGAAGGAAUACCGAUUGCGAAGGCGAUCUACUGGAACAUUAUUGACGCUGAGACGCGAAAGCGUGGGGAGCAAACAGGAUUAGAUACCCGUGUAGUC
This 439-nucleotide ribosomal RNA is filed under the name uncultured bacterium. Its description in RNAcentral is "partial 16S ribosomal RNA". It matches the Rfam family "Bacterial small subunit ribosomal RNA", at positions 342 to 795 of the family's 1533-position model. The record is from RNAcentral.